Long non-coding RNA from Cyprinodon variegatus (sheepshead minnow), 427 nucleotides. RefSeq lists it as uncharacterized. The transcript has 3 exons. The record is from RefSeq and is a predicted model, not a curated record. Lineage: Eukaryota; Metazoa; Chordata; Actinopteri; Cyprinodontiformes; Cyprinodontidae.
AGGCUCGCUGUAGGUCCUCCUGUAGCUCACAUGGUUUCCGACGCCGGCAUAGGUCAGAGUAAUCCAGCUUUACACCAAGACGCAACCAGAAAGCAAAUUAGUGUGCUUGGAGGGGCUCAGCCGGAGAAUGAGACUUCCCCUGCAAGGCUGCAACCUGUUGGACUCAUUAGUGGUUCUCUCCUGGAUAUUGAGGGGCGUCCCGCUGACAGCUCCAGGCGAAGGAACGAGAGUACCCUGAGCUACAGAGAAGCACUGAGGAAGCAGGUAAAAUAAUUAUUGCAGCUCAAAGAAGAAUUUUGCAACAAUGUCUUUGUUCAGAUUACAGAAAAAGAAGAGAAUGUAAGAAGAGAGAAAGAGAAGAAGAGGAGAGAUGCUGCUGAGCUGCUGGAUGAGAUGGCGGUGUAUGACCCCUGGGGGAAAGGAGGAG